Molecule: ribosomal RNA, 373 nt
Filed under: uncultured organism
Description: partial 16S ribosomal RNA
Rfam family: Bacterial small subunit ribosomal RNA
Source: RNAcentral
GUAGGUGGCAAGCGUUGUCCGGAAUUAUUGGGCGUAAAGCGCGCGCAGGUGGUUCUUUAAGUCUGAUGUGAAAGCCCCCGGGCUCAACCGGGGAGGGUCAUUGGAAACUGGGGAACUUGAGUGCAGGAGAGGAAAGUGGAAUUCCACGUGUAGCGGUGAAAUGCGUAGAUAUGUGGAGGAACACCAGUGGCGAAGGCGACUUUCUGGCCUGUAACUGACACUGAGGCGCGAAAGCGUGGGGAGCAAACAGGAUUAGAUACCCUGGUAGUCCACGCCGAAAACGAUGAGUGCUAAGUGUUGGGGGGUUUCCGCCCCUCAGUGCUGCAGCUAACGCAUUAAGCACUCCGCCUGGGGAGUACGGUCGCAAAGACUG